GAUGAACGCUGGCGGCGUGCCUAAUACAUGCAAGUCGAGCGAACGGACGAGAAGCUUGCUUCUCUGAUGUUAGCGGCGGACGGGUGAGUAACACGUGGGUAACCUACCUAUAAGACUGGGAUAACUUCGGGAAACCGUAGCUAAUACCGGAUAAUAUUUUGAACCGCAUGGUUCAAAAGUGAAAGACGGUCUUGCUGUCACUUAUAGAUGGAUCCGCGCUGCAUUAGCUAGUUGGUAAGGUAACGGCUUACCAAGGCAACGAUGCAUAGCCGACCUGAGAGGGUGAUCGGCCACACUGGAACUGAGACACGGUCCAGACUACUACGGGAGGCAGCAGUAGGGAAUCUUCCGCAAUGGGCGAAAGCCUGACGGAGCAACGCCGCGUGAGUGAUGAAGGUCUUCGGAUCGUAAAACUCUGUUAUUAGGGAAGAACAUAUGUGUAAGUAACUGUGCACAUCUUGACGGUACCUAAUCAGAAAGCCACGGCUAACUACGUG
RNAcentral lists this ribosomal RNA (497 nucleotides) under uncultured bacterium. RNAcentral's name for it is "partial 16S ribosomal RNA". It matches the Rfam family "Bacterial small subunit ribosomal RNA", at positions 28 to 507 of the family's 1533-position model. The record is from RNAcentral.